RNAcentral lists this long non-coding RNA (243 nucleotides) under Elaeis guineensis (African oil palm). Its description in RNAcentral is "long non-coding RNA (EGUI_LNC013920)". Lineage: Eukaryota; Viridiplantae; Streptophyta; Magnoliopsida; Arecales; Arecaceae. The record is from RNAcentral.
ACUUGACAUGAUUUUUAUAGUUAAGCACCAAUUAACAUUAUAAUCCUAAAGGGAAGGGAAUAGUUUCCCUCUGAAAGCCCCAGAUAGCAUCUAAAAAUUUUUUUCUAUUCUUCUACAUGAUUAAGGAUCAAAUCCUUACCUGAUUUACAGCAGAAUCAAAGAUCAAAUCUCAAUUUAUCUGGAUUAAAUCUUUACGGAGGCCUAGAUGUUCAGACCCUCUACUUCGCAUAUACGCUAGACACC